This 174-nucleotide ribosomal RNA is filed under the name Spartaeus platnicki. RNAcentral describes it as "partial 16S ribosomal RNA". Lineage: Eukaryota; Metazoa; Arthropoda; Arachnida; Araneae; Salticidae. The record is from RNAcentral.
UGAUUUGNGUUCNGNCCGGUACCAAGCCAGGUCGGUUUCUAUCUUUUAUAUAAUAUUAUACAGUACGAANGGACCUAUAAUUAUAAUUAUAUUAUUAAAAUGGCAGAUAAUGCAUUAGAAUUAGAAUCUAAUUAAUCUUAUAUAUUANGAUUAUUUUCACUUAAUUUUAUAAUU